This is a long non-coding RNA of Populus euphratica (Euphrates poplar), 185 nucleotides long. RefSeq lists it as uncharacterized. The record is from RefSeq and is a predicted model, not a curated record. The transcript has 2 exons. NCBI's taxonomy places the organism in Eukaryota, Viridiplantae, Streptophyta, Magnoliopsida, Malpighiales, Salicaceae.
CAAUUUUAGAGCUUCAUCAUAAAAAAUUAAGGAAAUAAAAGGUAAAUAGAGCGAGAGAGAGACCUUGAGGCUAGUAGGAGUGGCAGUAUAAGCAGAACGAAGGGAUUGGAAGAGAGCUUGAGCGUCUCUGCUGGUCGUUCUCGCCAUUAUCAACACUAACUAGCGCAAAGCUUCCAACCUGUUCU